RNAcentral lists this ribosomal RNA (486 nucleotides) under uncultured bacterium. Its description in RNAcentral is "partial 16S ribosomal RNA". It matches the Rfam family "Bacterial small subunit ribosomal RNA", at positions 29 to 507 of the family's 1533-position model. The record is from RNAcentral.
AUUGAACGCUGGCGGCAUGCUUUACACAUGCAAGUCGAGCGGCAGCGCGGGGGCAACCCUGGCGGCGAGCGGCGAACGGGUGAGUAAUGCAUCGGAACGUAUCCUCGAGUGGGGGAUAACCCAGCGAAAGUUGGGCUAAUACCGCAUGAGCUCUGAGGAGGAAAGCGGGGGACCUGCGAGGGCCUCGCGCUGGAGGAGCGGCCGAUGUCCGAUUAGCUAGUUGGUGGGGUAAAGGCUUACCAAGGCGACGAUCGGUAGCUGGUCUGAGAGGAUGAUCAGCCACACUGGGACUGAGACACGGCCCAGACUCCUACGGGAGGCAGCAGUGGGGAAUUGUGGACAAUGGGGGCAACCCUGAUCCAGUCAUGCCGCGUGAGUGACGAAGGCCUUCGGGUUGUAAAGCUCGUUCGGACGGAACGAAAUGGGCGGGACUAAUACUCCUGUCGGAUGACGGUACCGUAAGAAGAAGCACCGGCUAACUACGUG